GUAGCUCAGUUGGAUAGAGUACCUGGCUACGAACCAGGGGGUCGGGAGUUCGAAUCUC
This 58-nucleotide transfer RNA is filed under the name mine drainage metagenome. Its description in RNAcentral is "tRNA-Arg". It matches the Rfam family "tRNA", at positions 7 to 61 of the family's 71-position model. Rfam says of the family: Transfer RNA (tRNA) molecules are approximately 80 nucleotides in length. Their secondary structure includes four short double-helical elements and three loops (D, anti-codon, and T loops). The record is from RNAcentral.